RNAcentral lists this non-coding RNA (132 nucleotides) under Methanosarcina sp. MTP4. Its description in RNAcentral is "Archaeal Small RNA 154". It matches the Rfam family "Archaeal Small RNA 154". From Rfam's summary of the family: Exclusively expressed under nitrogen deficiency, has a central regulatory role in nitrogen metabolism affecting nitrogenase and glutamine synthetase by masking the ribosome binding site or positively affecting transcript stability. Global nitrogen repressor NrpR direct binding. Lineage: Archaea; Methanobacteriati; Methanobacteriota; Methanomicrobia; Methanosarcinales; Methanosarcinaceae. The record is from Rfam by way of RNAcentral.
CGGUUGCUUGCAAGCGGACCUCGAAGCCUCAUUUCACACACACACACGAGAAUCACAACGAUUACUCUAGAUGGAUAGGUUCAUCCCUUCUUCCUGUCCGUUCCGUUCGCUUGUGAGUACCACCCCAUCAUA